CGGCGAGUGAAGCGGCAACAGCUCAAAUUUGAAAUCUGGCCCUCGUGGUCCGAGUUGUAAUUUGUAGAGGAUGCUUUUGGUGAGGUGCCUUCCGAGUUCCCUGGAACGGGACGCCAUAGAGGGUGAGAGCCCCGUCUGGUUGGACACCGAGCCUCUGUAAAGCUCCUUCGACGAGUCGAGUAGUUUGGGAAUGCUGCUCUAAAUGGGAGGUAUAUGUCUUCUAAAGCUAAAUACCGGCCAGAGACCGAUAGCGCACAAGUAGAGUGAUCGAAAGAUGAAAAGCACUUUGAAAAGAGGGUUAAAUAGUACGUGAAAUUGUUGAAAGGGAAGCGCUUGUGACCAGACUUGAGCCCGGUUAAUCAUCCAGCCUUCUGGCUGGUGCACUUGGCCGGCUCAGGCCAGCAUCAGUUCGGCGCGGGGGAUAAAGGCUUCGGGAAUGUGGCUCCUCCGGGAGUGUUAUAGCCCGUUGUGUAAUACCCUGUACUGGACUGAGGUUCGCGCAUCUGCAAGGAUGCUGGCGUAAUGGUCAUCAGCGACCCGUCUUGAAACACGGACCAAGGAGUCGUCUUCGUAUGCGAGUGUUCGGGUGUCAAACCCCUACGCGUAAUGAAAGUGAACGCAGGUGAGAGCUUCGGCGCAUCAUCGACCGAUCCUGAUGUUCUCGGAUGGAUUUGAGUAAGAGCAUACGGGGCCGGACCCGAAAGAAGGUGAACUAUGCCUGUAUAGGGUGAAGCCAGAGGAAACUCUGGUGGAGGCUCGCAGCGGUUCUGACGUGCAAAUCGAUCGUCAAAUAU
RNAcentral lists this ribosomal RNA (794 nucleotides) under Cosmospora obscura. Its description in RNAcentral is "eukaryotic LSU rRNA". It matches the Rfam family "Eukaryotic large subunit ribosomal RNA", at positions 87 to 912 of the family's 3401-position model. The record is from RNAcentral. Lineage: Eukaryota; Fungi; Ascomycota; Sordariomycetes; Hypocreales; Nectriaceae.